RNAcentral lists this ribosomal RNA (262 nucleotides) under uncultured bacterium. RNAcentral's name for it is "partial 16S ribosomal RNA". It matches the Rfam family "Bacterial small subunit ribosomal RNA", at positions 793 to 1055 of the family's 1533-position model. The record is from RNAcentral.
GUCCUGGCCCUAAACGAUGAAUGCUUGGUGUGGCGGGUAUCGAUCCCUGCCGUGCCGAAGCUAACGCAUUAAGCAUUCCGCCUGGGGAGUACGGUCGCAAGGCUGAAACUCAAAUGAAUUGACGGGGGCCCGCACAAGCGGUGGAGCAUGUGGUUUAAUUCGACGCAACGCGAAGAACCUUACCCAGGCUCGAACGGUAGAUGACAUCUUACGAAAGUAGGCUCCCGCAAGGGCAUCUAUCGAGGUGCUGCAUGGCUGUCGU